CUGAUAGAGCUCCUGGAAGGCCU
Molecule: microRNA, 23 nt
Filed under: Sus scrofa (pig)
Lineage: Eukaryota; Metazoa; Chordata; Mammalia; Artiodactyla; Suidae
Description: ssc-miR-10387
Source: miRBase by way of RNAcentral